CCUACGGGGUGCUGCAGUGGGGAAUAUUGCACAAUGGGGGAAACCCUGAUGCAGCGACGCCGCGUGAGUGAAGAAGUAUUUCGGUACGUAAAGCUCUAUCAGCAGGGAAGAAAAUGACGGUACCUGACUAAGAAGCCCCGGCUAACUACGUGCCAGCAGCCGCGGUAAUACGUAGGGGGCAAGCGUUAUCCGGAUUUACUGGGUGUAAAGGGAGCGUAGACGGCAGCGCAAGUCUGGAGUGAAAUCCCAUGGCUUAACCAUGGAACUGCUUUGGAAACUGUGCAGCUAGAGUGCAGGAGAGGUAAGCGGAAUUCCUAGUGUAGCGGUGAAAUGCGUAGAGAUUAGGAGGAACACCAGUGGCGAAGGCGGCUUACUGGACUGUAACUGACGUUGAGGCUCGAAAGCGUGGGGAGCAAACAGGAUUAGAUACCCUGGUAGUC
RNAcentral lists this ribosomal RNA (440 nucleotides) under uncultured bacterium. Its description in RNAcentral is "partial 16S ribosomal RNA". It matches the Rfam family "Bacterial small subunit ribosomal RNA", at positions 338 to 795 of the family's 1533-position model. The record is from RNAcentral.